Molecule: ribosomal RNA, 406 nt
Filed under: uncultured bacterium
Lineage: Bacteria
Description: partial 16S ribosomal RNA
Rfam family: Bacterial small subunit ribosomal RNA
Source: RNAcentral
AUUGAACGCUGGCGGCAGGCCUAACACAUGCAAGUCGAACGAGUGGCGGACGGGUGAGUAAUGUCUGGGAAACUGUCCGUUGGAGGGGGAUAACUACUGGAAACGGUAGCUAAUACCGCAUACCAUCGGAUGUGCGCAGAUGGGAUUAGCUAGUAGGUGGGGUAACGGCUCACCUAGGCGACGAUCCCUAGCUGGUCUGAGAGGAUGACCAGCCACACUGGGACUGAGACACGGUCCAGACUCCUACGGGAGGCAGCAGUAGGGAAUAUUGCACAAUGGGCGAAAGCCUGAUGCAGCAAUGCCGCGUGUAUGAAGAAGGCCUUCGGGUUGUAAAGUACUUUCAGCAAGGAGGCGUUACUCGCAGAAGAAGCACCGGCUAACUACGUGCCAGCCGCCGCGGUAAUUC